This 77-nucleotide transfer RNA is filed under the name Coriobacteriaceae bacterium BV3Ac1. Its description in RNAcentral is "tRNA-Arg". It matches the Rfam family "tRNA". From Rfam's summary of the family: Transfer RNA (tRNA) molecules are approximately 80 nucleotides in length. RNAcentral also lists the same sequence under 4 other names. The record is from RNAcentral. Lineage: Bacteria; Bacillati; Actinomycetota; Coriobacteriia; Coriobacteriales; Coriobacteriaceae.
GCCCUCUUAGCUCAGUGGAUUAGAGCGUCUGCCUCCGGAGCAGAAGGCCGCGGGUUCGAAUCCCACAGAGGGCACCA